Molecule: ribosomal RNA, 477 nt
Filed under: uncultured bacterium
Lineage: Bacteria
Description: partial 16S ribosomal RNA
Rfam family: Bacterial small subunit ribosomal RNA
Source: RNAcentral
GACGAACGCUGGCGGCGUGCUUAACACAUGCAAGUCGAGCGAUGAAGCUCCUUCGGGAGUGGAUUAGCGGCGGACGGGUGAGUAACACGUGGGUAACCUGCCUCAUAGAGGGGAAUAACCUUUCGAAAGGAAGAUUAAUACCGCAUAAGAUUGUAGCUUCGCAUGAAGCAGCAAUUAAAGGAGUAAUCCGCUAUGAGAUGGACCCGCGUCGCAUUAGCUAGUUGGUGAGGUAACGGCUCACCAAGGCGACGAUGCGUAGCCGACCUGGGAGGGUGAUCGGCCACAUUGGGACUGAGACACGGCCCAGACUCCUACGGGAGGCAGCAGUGGGGAAUAUUGCACAAUGGGGGAAACCCUGAUGCAGCAACGCCGCGUGAGUGAUGACGGUCUUCGGAUUGUAAAACUCUGUCUUCAGGGACGAUAUGACGGUACCUGAGGAGGAAGCCACGGCUAACUACGUGCCAGCCGCCGCAGUAA